GGAGUCUAGCAUGUGCGCGAGUCAUUGGGAGCUUCGCGGCUAAACCUAAAGGCGAAAUGAAAGUGAAGGCGGCCCUCGCGGCCGCCCAGGGAGGACGGACGGGGCUCGCGCCGCCGUCCCGCACUCCCGGGGCGUCUCGUUCUCAUCGCGAGGAGAGGCGCACCCAGAGCGUACACGCUGGGACCCGAAAGAUGGUGAACUAUGCCUGGUCAGGACGAAGUCAGGGGAAACCCUGAUGGAGGUCCGUAGCGAUUCUGACGUGCAAAUCGAUCGUCGGAACUGGGUAUAGGGGCGAAAGACUAAUCGAACCAUCUAGUAGCUGGUUCCCUCCGAAGUUUCCCUCAGGAUAGCUGGCGCUCGCUCACGCGAGUCUCAUCCGGUAAAGCGAAUGAUUAGAGGCAUUGGGGUCGAAACGGCCUCAACCUAUUCUCAAACUUUAAAUGGGUGAGAUCUCCGGCUUGCUUGAACGCGCGUUCGCGCGCUUGAAGCCGCGAGAUCGGAUCAGAGUGCCAAGUGGGCCACUUUUGGUAAGCAGAACUGGCGCUGUGGGAUGAACCAAACGCAGAGUUAAAGCGCUCAAAUCGACGCUUAUGGGACACCAUGAAAGGCGUUGGUACCUUAAGACAGCAGGACGGUGGCCAUGGAA
This 646-nucleotide ribosomal RNA is filed under the name Microselasia elongata. Its description in RNAcentral is "partial large subunit ribosomal RNA". It matches the Rfam family "Eukaryotic large subunit ribosomal RNA", at positions 670 to 1259 of the family's 3401-position model. The record is from RNAcentral. Lineage: Eukaryota; Metazoa; Arthropoda; Insecta; Coleoptera; Elateridae.